This 406-nucleotide ribosomal RNA is filed under the name Troglophilus ozeli. RNAcentral describes it as "partial 16S ribosomal RNA". It matches the Rfam family "Bacterial large subunit ribosomal RNA", at positions 1939 to 2551 of the family's 2925-position model. Lineage: Eukaryota; Metazoa; Arthropoda; Insecta; Orthoptera; Rhaphidophoridae. The record is from RNAcentral.
AUUUUGACUGUGCAAAGGUAGCAUAAUCAUUAGUCUUUUAAUUGGGGACUGGUAUGAAUGGUUUAACGAAGUAUUAACUGUCUCAUUUUAAUAAAUUGAAAUUAACUUUUGAGUCAAAAGGCUUAAAUGAAGUUAGAGGACGAGAAGACCCUAUAGAGCUUUAUAAAUUUAAUAUAAAAUGUAAUUUGGGGGUUUAUUUAAUUUAGGUAAAAAAUUUAUUUUAUUGGGGUGAUAUGAAGAUUUAAUAAACUCUUUAUAAUAAUUGAACACUAAUGAGUGAAUAAUUGAUCCAUUUUUAGUGAUUAUAAGAUUAAGUUACCUUAGGGAUAACAGCGUAAUGUUUUUUGAGAGUUCUUAUCAACAAAAAAGAUUGCGACCUCGAUGUUGGAUUAAGGAAAAAGUUGGG